RNAcentral lists this ribosomal RNA (497 nucleotides) under uncultured bacterium. RNAcentral describes it as "partial 16S ribosomal RNA". It matches the Rfam family "Bacterial small subunit ribosomal RNA", at positions 28 to 507 of the family's 1533-position model. The record is from RNAcentral.
GAUGAACGCUGGCGGCGUGCCUAAUACAUGCAAGUCGAGCGAACAGACGAGGAGCUUGCUCCUCUGACGUUAGCGGCGGACGGGUGAGUAACACGUGGAUAACCUACCUAUAGGCCGGGGAUAACUUGGGGAAACGGGGGCUAAUACCGAAAAAUAUAUUAAACGGCAGGGUUCACUAGUGAAGGACGGUUUGGUGGUAACUUAUAAAGGAAUCGCGGCCGCAUUAGCUAGUUGGUAAGGUAACGGCUUCCCAAGGCAACGAUGCGUAGCCGACCUGAGAGGGUGAUCGGCCACACUGGAACUGAGACACGGUCCAGACUCCUACGGGAGGCAGCAGUAGGGAAUCUUCCGCAAAGGGCGAAAGCCUGACGGAGCAACGCCGCGUGAGUGAUGAAGGUCUUCGGAUCGUAAAACUCUGUUAUUAGGGAAGAACAAAUGUGUAAGUAACUAUGCACGUCUUGACGGUACCUAAUCAGAAAGCCACGGCUAACUACGUG